RNAcentral lists this long non-coding RNA (236 nucleotides) under Elaeis guineensis (African oil palm). RNAcentral describes it as "long non-coding RNA (EGUI_LNC055132)". Lineage: Eukaryota; Viridiplantae; Streptophyta; Magnoliopsida; Arecales; Arecaceae. The record is from RNAcentral.
AGAAUGGGAGAAUGUACAAGUGGGAAUAAAAUAAAGAAUGGAAAAACAAGUGUGGAAAACAAAAAUAAUCUAAGAUAGGAGAGCAUCUCCGAAGAAGAGAGAAUCAUAAGUACAAUGCAGGGAACAAUUAAUUCAGACCUAGAAUCCACUCGUUGAGGAGAAAAAAGUUUUGUGAUAGAAACUUCAUCUUAUAGCUUUCCAAAUGCACCUACAAAAUGCACAAACAAACGGAUCCA